RNAcentral lists this ribosomal RNA (301 nucleotides) under uncultured bacterium. Its description in RNAcentral is "partial 16S ribosomal RNA". It matches the Rfam family "Bacterial small subunit ribosomal RNA", at positions 509 to 808 of the family's 1533-position model. The record is from RNAcentral.
CAGCAGCCACGGUAAUACGGAGGGUGCAAGCGUUAAUCGGAAUUACUGGGCGUAAAGCGCACGCAGGCGGUUUGUUAAGUCAGAUGUGAAAUCCCCGAGCUUAACUUGGGAACUGCAUUUGAAACUGGCAAGCUAGAGUCUUGUAGAGGGGGGUAGAAUUCCAGGUGUAGCGGUGAAAUGCGUAGAGAUCUGGAGGAAUACCGGUGGCGAAGGCGGCCCCCUGGACAAAGACUGACGCUCAGGUGCGAAAGCGUGGGGAGCAAACAGGAUUAGAUACCCGCGUAGUCCCGUCUCUUAUACA